UGCCAGCCGCCGCGGUAAUACGGAGAGUGCAAGCGUUGUUCGGAAUCAUUGGGCUUAAAGAGCGUGUAGGCGGAAUGUCAGGUGUCGUGUGAAAGCCCAGGGCUCAACCUUGGAACUGCUUUCAAAACUCACAAACUAGAAUCUGGUAGGGGUUAGUGGAAUUCCUAGUGUAGAGGUGAAAUUCGUAGAUAUUAGGAGGAACACCAGUGGCGAAGGCGACUAACUGGACCAGAAUUGACGCUAAGGUGCGAAAGCGUGGGGAGCAAACAGGAUUAGAUA
This 279-nucleotide ribosomal RNA is filed under the name uncultured bacterium. RNAcentral's name for it is "partial 16S ribosomal RNA". It matches the Rfam family "Bacterial small subunit ribosomal RNA", at positions 506 to 784 of the family's 1533-position model. The record is from RNAcentral.